UGUGCGGAGGACACUCACUCUCUCUCUCUCGCUCUCUCUCUCUCUCUCCAUCAUUUAUGAUCGCUCUUUCUCUCCGCUGCUCAUUUGCUUCGCGUCUUCGAUCACUCCUUCCGUUCUCAACCACAAAUCUGCGGCGUUCAGUCCAGUCAAGCAGCAUGAAUUGAACGCUUCUAAAUGACCAUCCGAGCGCGUGAAGCGUUUCCAUUCACCACAACUGUUCCACUGUCAUCCAGCGCGCUCCGCUUGGGCUUCUUCCCGGAGAAGAAAGAGAGAGACUCUUGAUUUUUUUUACGCUGCUUUGGGUGUAAAUGUUGAAGCUUGAAUGGCUGGAGCUCAACCUGGCGUUCAUGCGCUUCAACUCAAGCCGGUGCGCGUGUCCGAGAGUCUGAAGCGAGGCAGUAGAUUUAUGAAAUGGGAUGAGGAUUCAUCCACGGUGACUCCAGUGACGUUGCGCGUCGAUCCCCAGGGAUACUUCCUGUACUGGACAGAUCAGAAUAAGGAAACGGAUCUAUUGGACAUCACCUACAUCAAAGAUGCAAGAACGGGGAAAUGCACCAAAACACCAAAGGAGGCGAAGCUGCGGGAGCUGCUGGACGUGGGGAAUCUGGUGGGCCGGAUAGAGAACCGGAUGCUGACGGUGGUGACGGGACCAGACAUGGUCAACAUCCAGUACCUGAACUUCAUGGCCUUCCAAGAAGACGUCGCCAAGGAGUGGGCAGAUGAGCUGUUCAGUCUGGCGUCUAACCUGCUCGCUCAGAACAUGGGCCGAGAGUCCUGUCUGGAGAAAGCCUUCACGAGACUCAAGCUGCAGACGAAUCAAGAGGGUCGAAUCCCAGUGAAAAAUAUAUGCCGCAUGUUCUCGACUGACCGGAAGCGUGUGGAGACGGCGCUGGAGAGCUGCAAUCUCCCGUCCGGCCGGAACGACUCCAUCCCUUUGGAGGAUUUGACGUCUGACGUUUACAAAUCGUUCAUCAACAACGUCUGCCCACGAUCUGAGAUCAACCAAAUAUUUGCUGAUCUCGGCGCGAAGAGCAGAAACUAUCUGACGGUGGAUCAGAUGACAGAAUUCAUCAACAACAAGCAGCGGGACCCGCGUCUGAAUGAGAUCCUGUACCCGCCGCUCAAACCCGACCAAACCCAGCUGCUCAUGGAGAAGUUCGAGCCCAACGCAGCGGUGAUUCAGAAAGGGCAGAUCUCAGUGGAGGGCUUCGCCAGGUAUCUGAUCAGUGAGGAGAACAGCGUCAUUCCUCCAGAAAAACUGGACCAGAGUGAAGACAUGACUUUCCCUCUCUCUCAGUACUUCAUCAACUCCUCCCACAACACCUACCUCACAGCGGGGCAGCUUGCGGGGAACUCCUCAGUUGAGAUGUACCGGCAGACGCUGCUGUCUGGCUGUCGAUGUGUGGAGCUGGACUGCUGGAAGGGCCGGACGGCGGAGGAGGAACCUGUCAUCACACACGGCUUCACCAUGACCUCAGAAAUCUCCUUCAAGGAAGUGAUCGAAGCCAUAGCAGAGUGCGCUUUUAAGACGUCUCCGUUCCCCGUCAUCCUGUCCUUUGAGAAUCAUGUGGACUCCCCCAAACAGCAAGCCAAAAUGGCAGAAUAUUGCCGAUCGAUAUUCGGGGAUGCUCUUUUGACUGAGACUCUGGAGAAAUAUCCUCUCGAGUCCGGCGUUCCUCUGCCAAGUCCUCAAGAGCUCAUGGGAAAGAUCCUCGUCAAGAACAAGAAAUCUCACCCCAAACCCUCAGACGGCAGCACUAAGAAGAAGCUGUCCGAGCAGGCGUCCAACACCAACAGCGACUCGUCCAGCGUCUUUGAGCCGUCGUCUCCCAGCGCUGGACCCGCAGCGCCUGCAGAGGUGGAGGCUGAGGAUGAUGAGGAUGAAGAUGAUGACGAUGAUGACUGUAAAAAGUCCAUGGACGAGGGUACAGCAGGAUCUGAAGCCUUUGCCACUGAAGAAAUGUCCACGCUGGUCAACUACAUCCAGCCCACCAAGUUCCACUCGUUUGAGAUUUCCAAGAAGAGCAAACGCAGUUAUCAGAUGUCGUCGUUUGUGGAGACCAAAGCGCUGGAGCAUCUCACCAAGACACCGGUGGAGUUCGUCGAAUACAACAAGUUCCAGCUGAGCAGGAUUUAUCCUAAAGGAACACGCGUGGAUUCCUCCAACUACAUGCCGCAGGUCUUCUGGAACGCCGGCUGUCAGCUCGUCGCACUCAACUUUCAGACCAUCGAUCUGUCCAUGCAGCUGAACCUCGGCAUGUACGAGUACAAUGGCAAGAGCGGCUACAGACUCAAACCAGAGUUCAUGAGACGACCGGACAAGCACUUCGACCCCUUCACAGAAAGCACUGUGGACGGCAUCGUAGCCAACACCUUAUCAGUGAAGAUCAUAUCAGGACAGUUUCUGACUGACAAGAAGGUGGGCGUUUAUGUGGAGCUUGACAUGUUUGGACUCCCCGUCGACACGAGACGAAAAGCUUUCAAGACAAAGACGUCCCAGAGCAACGCCAUCAACCCUGUGUGGGACGAGGAGCCCAUCGUCUUUAAAAAAGUGGUUUUGCCCACGCUGGCGUCCCUCAGGAUAGCCGUGUAUGAAGAGGGCGGCAAGUUCAUCGGCCAUCGUAUCAUCCCCGUCUCAGCCAUUCGUCCGGGUUAUCGUUACAUCGGUUUGAGAAAUGAAAAGAAUCAAGCGCUGACACUUCCUGCUAUAUUUGUGAAUAUCGAGGUGAAGGACUACGUUCCCGAUACAUUCGCUGAUGUCAUCGAAGCGCUGUCCAACCCCAUCAGAUACGUCAACCUGAUGGAGCAGAGAUCCAAACAGCUGGCGGCGCUCACUCUAGAGGAGGGAGAAGAGGAGAAAGACACCAAAGAGGCGGAUCCUGGUGUUGAAAACCCUUCGGAGGUUAAAAGCGAACCCAAACCCGCCCCGGUUGAGAACGGUCUGACUCACACGCCCAGCGCCGCUCCGAAGCCCGCGUCCCAGAUCAGCACACAGCCGCAGUCCACAGGCUCAACCAAACCAGCGGCGAAGACUGAAGAUCUGAUUCAGAGCGUCCUCACCGAAAUGGAGGCGCAAACCGUGGAGGAGCUCAAACAGCAGAAGGGCUUCGUCCGAGAGCAGAGACGACACUAUAAAGAAAUGAAGGACCUGGUGAAGAAACACCACAAGAAGACCACCGAGAUGAUCAAGGAGCACACGGCCAAAUACAACGAGUUCCAGCACGACUACCUGCGCAAACGAGCCGUCCUGCUGAAGUCUGCCAAACGAGACGGUAAGAAGAGGUGUUUGUCGUCCAGUCCUGAACACGGACCCUCGUUCUUCGAGCAGGAACUGGCCAAUCUGGAUCAGGACAGUGGACAGAAACUGUCCGAACUCAAAGAACAGCAGCAGCAGCAGCUCCUCAAUCUGCGUCAGGAGCAGUAUUACAGCGAGAAAUAUCUGAAGAAAGAGCACAUCAAACAGGUGAUCGAGAAGCUGACGGCCAUCGCUGAGGAUAGUCAGAGCAACCAAAUGAAGAAAAUCAAGGAGCUGUGCGAGAAAGAAAAGAAAGAGCUGAAAAAGAAAAUGGACAAGAAGAGACAAGAGAAGAUCAAUGAAGCCAAAUCAAAGGAGAAACACCUGACAGAAGAGGAGAAGCUGGAGAUCAACAGGUCGUACGUGAACGAGGUGGUGCAGCACAUCAAGAGGCUGGAAGACGCUCAGAUUAAAAGACACGAGAAGCUGGUAGAAACCCAUAAGAGCAUCCUGCAACAGAUAUUAGACGAGAAACCCAAGGAGCAGAACUCAUCUAGUGAAAGCGAGUGAUGAUGCUUUCUUGGAAGUCUGACCGAUGAGAUUUGGAGUUUGUUGCAUCCUGACACUGUAGAUCAAUACAUAUUUCACAACCGUCAUCAUCGAUUUUCUGCAGCUGUCAUUCACCAGCAUGCUUUGGGAUUUUAACCCUGUAAAGCCUGGCAUAGGAAAUAAUAGUCCGAAAAAUGCAGAUCCUGCAAUAUGUUGAGUAUCAUAUUUAAAAAAUAAGGCUUUUAUGGUUCAUAUAGUCUGAUAUAAUGAGAAUAUGGAGGAAAAAACAGCUCAAUUUUAUUCAGAGACUCAAACUGAGCAAAAAUAUGCAAAUUGGUGCGAAUGCUUAUAUUUAUAUGAUGAAAUUCUGAUGGUUGUAAUGCAAAUCAAUGAGAUCUUUAUAACAGUAUAUCAGAUACAUAACAAUAUAUAAAUAAGAGUGGUCACUCUAUAUCUGCAAUAAUAUGUCUUAGUAAGAUGAGAUUGAGAUAUAUGAGAUAUAAUGCAAUGCAAUCCAAUGAUGAUUGAGAGAUGAAGAAAUAAACGCUCCUCAGAAGAUGUGAGAUGAAGAUCAUUCCUCCUCCGAGGAACAGUGAAAGUAAAGCUUCUGGAAACAAACGUUCCUCAAAAGAUCCUGAUGAUCAGAUUUGAGACGCACUGAUUUUUCUUUCGUUAUCAACAUUUUUUUAUUUUUCAUACAUAACAUCCAAAAUAAAAAUAAAUAAAUAAAAAACACAACAGACACAUACUCGGUAUCUCAAAGUCCAGUCAAAGGGAGGGAGAGAGGGAAGGACAAGAAAAACACAAAAGUCACUCCUUUAUACAGUCACGUAUAUCUAAGAGAAAGCACUGCCAAGCAUCAAUGGUAGAAGGCUUGGCCCCAUUGAUUCGUGCUGUUGUACAUUUACAAGUCACUAUUUGCAGGAGGCUACGGAUCCAAUAUGUUUUUCCACACAUGUGCGGUGUAAACCAGUUUUGUAUUAUUGUCUUCUUCGCAGCCGUAAAACCAGCAAACAACAUUCUCUUUUGCAUUGAACUUAUACAGAGACCAGAAUCAUCAUUAAGAAGACACAAACUUGGAUUAACAGACCAAUCAAUUUGCACUCCAGAACGACCUGGAUCAGGAAUACCAGGACAAAUUCCGGCGGCUUCCGCUGGAGAUCCAGGAGUUUGUGCAGGAAAGCACCAAGAGAAAGACUGAUGAUGGAGAGCAGGAGGUUCUUCC
Onychostoma macrolepis is the source of this 5009-nucleotide RNA transcript. It is a transcript of the gene named 1-phosphatidylinositol 4,5-bisphosphate phosphodiesterase beta-1, with no coding region annotated. NCBI's taxonomy places the organism in Eukaryota, Metazoa, Chordata, Actinopteri, Cypriniformes, Cyprinidae. The record is from RefSeq and is a predicted model, not a curated record. The transcript has 33 exons.